AUUGAACGCUGGCGGCGUGCCUAACACAUGCAAGUCGAGCGGUAGCGCGGGGCGAACCCUGGCGACGAGCGGCGAACGGGUGAGUAACGCUUGGGAAUCUGCCUAUUGGUGGGGACAACCCGGGGAAACUCGGGACUAAUACCGCAUACCGCACUACGGUGGAAAGCAUGGGGACCGCAAGGCCUGGCGCCAAUAGAUGAGCCCAAGUCGGAUUAGCUGGUUGGUAGGGUAAUGGCCUACCAAGGCGACGAUCCGUAGCUGGUCUGAGAGGACGACCAGCCACACUGGGACUGAGACACGGCCCAGACUCCUACGGGAGGCAGCAGUGGGGAAUAUUGACAAUGGGCGAAAGCCUGAUCCAGCGACGCCGCGU
Molecule: ribosomal RNA, 373 nt
Filed under: uncultured bacterium
Lineage: Bacteria
Description: bacterial SSU rRNA
Rfam family: Bacterial small subunit ribosomal RNA
Source: RNAcentral